Homo sapiens (human) is the source of this 372-nucleotide long non-coding RNA. RefSeq lists it as uncharacterized. The transcript is spliced from 2 exons. Lineage: Eukaryota; Metazoa; Chordata; Mammalia; Primates; Hominidae. The record is from RefSeq and is a predicted model, not a curated record.
ACGUCGUAUCGUAUGUGCCAAACACUUAAGGAAUUUACAUUUACUGGGGCAAUGGAAUGGUGAUAACGGGUAUCAAAAGCAAAGUUGCCUACCUCCAAUUUUACGAAUACCUCAUUAGCAUUACCUCUUCCAAACACCCAUGUUGACCUUUCAACAAACAUAUUUUUCGCUUCUUUCUCAUUUCUAGGCCCUCUUCCUUCUUUGAAUCCCACUUUUGGAUGGAUAAUAGUUCAGGUGGGGCUGUCAUAGCUAUAUGCAGGGGUCCCAUUGUGCUAGCUGGCAGGCUUUGCACAAGAUUUUGCAGCUGAAAGAGGAAUUUGAGAAAAAUACAAGAUCCCAAUGAGUAUAAAAUAAAAGCACAGAAGGACACAA